RNAcentral lists this ribosomal RNA (497 nucleotides) under uncultured bacterium. RNAcentral's name for it is "partial 16S ribosomal RNA". It matches the Rfam family "Bacterial small subunit ribosomal RNA", at positions 28 to 507 of the family's 1533-position model. The record is from RNAcentral.
GAUGAACGCUGGCGGCGUGCCUAAUACAUGCAAGUCGAGCGAACGGACGAGAGGCUUGCUUUUCUGAUGUUAGCGGCGGACGGGUGAGUAACACGUGGAUAACCUACCUAUAAGACUGGGAUAACUUCGGGAAACCGGAGCUAAUACCGGAUAAUAUUUUGAACCGCAUGGUUCAAAAGUGAAAGACGGUCUUGCUGUCACUUAUAGAUGGAUCCGCGCUGCAUUAGCUAGUUGGUAAGGUAACGGCUUACCAAGGCAACGAUGCAUAGCCGACCUGAGAGGGUGAUCGGCCACACUGGAACUGAGACACGGUCCAGACUCCUACGGGAGGCAGCAGUAGGGAAUCUUCCGCAAUGGGCGAAAGCCUGACGGAGCAACGCCGCGUGAGUGAUGAAGGUCUUCGGAUCGUAAAACUCUGUUAUUAGGGAAGAACAUAUGUGUAAGUAACUGCGCACAUCUUGACGGUACCUAAUCAGAAAGCCACGGCUAACUACGUG